Molecule: non-coding RNA, 72 nt
Organism: Phrynosoma platyrhinos (Desert horned lizard)
Lineage: Eukaryota; Metazoa; Chordata; Lepidosauria; Squamata; Phrynosomatidae
Source: the annotation of a GenBank genome assembly
GCCAACAUAGUUUAGUGGUUUGAGUAUUGGACUACAACUCUGCAGACCAGGGUUUGAAUCCCUGAUCAGCCA